This 260-nucleotide ribosomal RNA is filed under the name uncultured archaeon. Its description in RNAcentral is "partial 16S ribosomal RNA". It matches the Rfam family "Archaeal small subunit ribosomal RNA", at positions 748 to 1009 of the family's 1478-position model. The record is from RNAcentral.
CAGCCGUAAACUAUGCUCGCUAGGUGUCAGGCAUGGCGCGACCGUGUCUGGUGCCGCAGGGAAGCCGUGAAGCGAGCCACCUGGGAAGUACGGCCGCAAGGCUGAAACUUAAGGAUUGGCCGGGGGAGCACAACAACGGGUGGAGCCUGCGGUUUAAUUGGACUCAACGCCGGACAACUCACCGGGGACGACAGCAAUAUGUAGGCCAGGCUGAAGACCUUGCCUGAAUCGCUGAGAGGAGGUGCAUGGCGUAGACGUCU